CGGAAGUCCCACCUUCUAAUCCUACCUCAGCUCUCCGGCCAACCAGCUUUGAUUAACAGGGGAAAGCUUUUACACAGUGCACAAGGGAUUAUCUCUACCUGCACAAUAACUGACUAGACAGGAGCUCUACUUCUCAACUAUCUCCCUGGCUCUUUCGGGCACUGCUUUAAUUUUCUUGCUGUUUCUCCUUUAGAAGAAGACUGACUCAGAUUAAGAACACCGGAUGAAGUGAUGAUGAUGAUGACGACGACGACGACGACGAUGAUGAUGUUAGAAGACAUAUUAAUUAAGAAUACAGAGCACUCUUCCAGAGGACUAAGAGAAAGACAAUUCUGAGCUACAAGCACGCGAUUCCAUGUCACCCAGUCAAUCACCACGGAAACCUUAUGAGGGCAGUGCUGUCAGCAUUAAGUAUUUCCCAGGACUUGAGCAUCUGUUUCAAAAAACUAACUCACCAGAGGCCCAACAUUUAAAGAGUAUUUGUCAAAAGCUACAUUUUGUUUGGAAAGAAUACAAAGUUCUCUACGACUUUUAACCAACCCUCCUUCCAGGUGAGCCCUGCUCUACCUUGAGCCGCUGGACAGCUACAGGUGGCAGCGGAACCGGACCUGAGCGAGCACCCGCUGAGAAAUGCUGCUUUGGGUGGAGCUCCACAGGAAAAAAGAGAAAGCGAAGGGUAAUUCUGAGUAGUGGGAUGCCGAAGGAGCUUGCUCCCUGCCAGAGUGAGACACGCUGAUGCUGGGACACAGAAUGAUGCUGAUCAUGAGCUUGCAGAGUGCCCCGACCAUGAUGACAAAGAAGCUGUGCUGGUCCUUGAUUCUGCCCCUUUACAUUCAGCACUAUGGGAAGGCCCAGAAGUUGUGGUAAUGGUAAACAACACUAAGUCAAUGGAUAUGCCCGAUGGGGGAAAUUUCACUAUUAGUAGAGAAAUUAUUUGCCAAGGAUUGGGAACUGGCAUCUCCAUAUGCUUUUCAAAUCGGAACGCUACUGGAUGUCUGAGAGUAUCUCGUACUACAUUGCAGAGAAAAGAUCUCGAUACACACCAAGAUUGGUAAAUAGCAUUCGAGUAACUCUACCCACUGGCCUAGCGGCUGAGGGAUACCAGGCACUGCAGCGGUUCCCGAAUUGUGGGGUGAGGGAAUGCACAAAUAUCACAAUUCCCUGGAAAAGACGGGGGGGGGAAUAAGCCUGUGCUUCAUCAGCCCCCACAGAUAUGACCUCAAGAUUUUGGGCUGCUCAGACUAUAGGGGAGUGGCUCGUGUGACUAAUUAUGCUACUGGCUCUCCAUCUCUACCUGUCCUCCUCUCAGAAGCCUUGUCUGCUGGACUCUGGUGGACUCACACAGGUUAUCAACAAGGAUACUAUGGAAGUUGGGUGCUGUCUUAGACGAUAUGAGUGCUCAGCCUGAAAGAUCGAGUCCAGCUUAUAUGAACAGACCUAUUGCACCACAUGUUUGCAUGCCAUAUGUCCUAUUAGUAGGAAAUAUUAGCAUUAUUGUAUAUUCUGAAAAUAAUACUUUAGGUGUGGCUGGUGUCGACUGUAGUUUGACUUGUGUCUUUAAAACCCAUUCUAAGCAUUCUGCAAUGAUUUCAUUUAAUCUGCUUUUGUGAUGGCUCCUGCAAAUAUUACUGAAGAUUGGUUCGACAACAAGGGUUUAUUAGCAAUUGAAGAGUUGACAAGGACAUUGGUCAAGCAUAAUUGUUUUAAUUAUCGCAGGUGUUAUAGCUUUGAUUACUUUAAUCUCUAGUGCUACUACAGCUGCCAUUGCCCUAUCACAAUGUGUUCAAACAGUUCAUUCUGUGUAUGUUUUAUCCAGAAAUGUUUCCAUGGCAUUGCAUACUCAGGAGGAUAUAAAUGAUAAUAAAAUGCAACAGAAAUUAG
Rattus norvegicus (Norway rat) is the source of this 1881-nucleotide long non-coding RNA. RefSeq lists it as uncharacterized. The record is from RefSeq and is a predicted model, not a curated record. Lineage: Eukaryota; Metazoa; Chordata; Mammalia; Rodentia; Muridae.